UCGAGCGGACAGAUGGGAGCUUGCUCCCUGAUGUUAGCGGCGGACGGGUGAGUAACACGUGGGUAACCUGCCUGUAAGACUGGGAUAACUCCGGGAAACCGGGGCUAAUACCGGAUGCUUGUUUGAACCGCAUGGUUCAAACAUAAAAGGUGGCUUCGGCUACCACUUACAGAUGGACCCGCGGCGCAUUAGCUAGUUGGUGAGGUAAUGGCUCACCAAGGCAACGAUGCGUAGCCGACCUGAGAGGGUGAUCGGCCACACUGGGACUGAGACACGGCCCAGACUCCUACGGGAGGCAGCAGUAGGGAAUCUUCCGCAAUGGACGAAAGUCUGACGGAGCAACGCCGCGUGAGUGAUGAAGGUUUUCGGAUCGUAAAGCUCUGUUGUUAGGGAAGAACAAGUGCCGUUCAAAUAGGGCGGCACCUUGACGGUACCUAACCAGAAAGCCACGGCUAACUACGUGCCAGCAGCCGCGGUAAUACGUAGGUGGCAAGCGUUGUCCGGAAUUAUUGGGCGUAAAGGGCUCGCAGGCGGUUUCUUAAGUCUGAUGUGAAAGCCCCCGGCUCAACCGGGGAGGGUCAUUGGAAACUGGGGAACUUG
RNAcentral lists this ribosomal RNA (600 nucleotides) under Bacillus sp. 122(2013). RNAcentral's name for it is "bacterial SSU rRNA". It matches the Rfam family "Bacterial small subunit ribosomal RNA", at positions 62 to 644 of the family's 1533-position model. Lineage: Bacteria; Bacillati; Bacillota; Bacilli; Caryophanales; Bacillaceae. The record is from RNAcentral.